AAAGGGUGCGUAGGCGGUUCAGCAAGUCUCGUGUGAAAUCUUCGGGCUCAACCCGAAGUCUGCACGGGAAACUACUGGGCUUGAGUAUGGGAGAGGUGAGUGGAAUUUCCGGUGUAGCGGUGAAAUGCGUAGAUAUCGGAAGGAACACCUGUGGCGAAAGCGGCUCACUGGACCAUAACUGACGCUGAUGCACGAAAGCUAGGGGAGCAAACAGGAUUAGAUACCCCUGU
RNAcentral lists this ribosomal RNA (230 nucleotides) under uncultured bacterium. RNAcentral describes it as "partial 16S ribosomal RNA". It matches the Rfam family "Bacterial small subunit ribosomal RNA", at positions 562 to 791 of the family's 1533-position model. The record is from RNAcentral.